AUUAUAACGCUGUGGUCAGUAAAGAUACUUGAUAUUAUCUUAAUCUUUUAAAAUUUGUUAAGACUUGUUUUGUGGCCUAACAUGUGAUCUCUCCUCAAGAAUGUUCCAUGUGCAUUUGAGAAGAAUGUGUAUCUGCAGCUGUUGGACGGAAUGUUCUGUGAUUCUAAGUAUGACUUGCUAUGUAAAGAAGAAUUUAUUGAACUCAAAGACAUAUUCUCUGUGAAACUGAAACGGCGUUGUUCUGUUAAACAGCAGAGAAGUGGUACUUUAUUAGGUAUCACACUCUUCAUCUGCUUGAAAAAGGAACAAAAUAAACUAAAGAAUUCUACACUUGAUCUUAUUAAUUUAAGUGAAGACCACUGUGACAUAUGGUUUAGACAGUUCAAGAAAAUAUUGGCAGGCUUUCCAAACAGACCGAAGUCAUUAAAAAUACUCCUUAACCCCCAAAGUCACAAAAAAGAAGCUACCCAGGUUUAUUAUGAGAAGGUUGAACCUCUGUUGAAGCUUGCAGGAAUAAAAACUGAUGUAACAAUAAUGGAAUAUGAAGGGCACGCUCUGUCACUGCUUAAGGAAUGUGAACUCCAGGGAUUUGAUGG
This 596-nucleotide long non-coding RNA is filed under the name Homo sapiens (human). RNAcentral describes it as "non-protein coding lnc-CERKL-4:7". Lineage: Eukaryota; Metazoa; Chordata; Mammalia; Primates; Hominidae. The record is from RNAcentral.